This 1406-nucleotide unclassified non-coding RNA is filed under the name Hevea brasiliensis (rubber tree). Lineage: Eukaryota; Viridiplantae; Streptophyta; Magnoliopsida; Malpighiales; Euphorbiaceae. The record is from RNAcentral.
AAAAUAAAAUAAACCUCUACUCUCUAAUCAAUAACAACUCAAUAUUCAAAAAUAAAAGAAAAUAAUAAUAAAAAAAAGUAAUCAAAUUCACAGACCUACAUAAUUACGAUUCAGGACAUGAGAAUCGAACAAAUUACAGUGGCAGAAACAGUGAACAACGCAGGGGCGGUCACGGGAAUAGCCGCGUUGUCCGCUGUGCUAUUCUCCGAUCCUACUGGCGCAUCUGAAGGAGCUCCUUGCGGGGUUUCCGACGGCGGUGCUGGUGGAGAAGGGGCCAGUGGUGAUGGGGCCUCAACACUAGCAGGAGCUGGACUUGGUGUUGUAGCCGGAGAAGGAGAAGGCGCGCUCACCGGUUCAAGGGCUGGCGCAGGAGAUGGAGACUUUCCGAACAACUCUGCAGGGAGAAGUACAUUAUCAACAGUGAAAAUCAUCAAUGGCGUGGAGUCGAGAACAGUGUCGGCAACUCUCGAUGAGUCAACCCCUGUGUGGAGAGUUACGGAGUCACCAGCUGCAGUCACUGUCAGAUCGAACUUCCCUGCGCCAUUACUGGCCAAUGUUGUGAUUGGAUCUUUUUGGGUCUUCAAGGAACCGAAAGGACUGUAUCCAGCGGCGGCAUGAUACUGUAAGAGCGAAACAAUCUCAGCAUUUGUGAGCUUGCUCAGAUCGGGGACUCCUUUGGCCUUAAAGGCUUCAUCGUUCGGUGCAAAAAUGGUCAAACCUUUAUCAGCCGCUGCCUGAUACGUCUUAAUCACACCGCUCGACUGAAGCAAACUAGCGAAUGUUUUGCAUCCAGCCUUCUCAAGCAAAGCUGUAAUGUUCACAUCGGAAGGUGUCGGGGCCGGAGCCGUUAGGAUUCCGGGAGCAAUAAUCGGCGCGCUGAUCUCGAGGACGGAGAUAUUGUAAGGGAUUUGUUUGACAGACUUGGUGUAAGAGGCGUCGAGCUUGGAGCCAGGGGCAGCGGAGCCAAACCCCACUUUACCUCCCUGCAGGUCAGUGAUGUUGACAAAGCCUAAAUUGCCAGGGGCAUUUCCUGUAGUUUGGUAAAGGGUGGUGGACAGGGUACUGCCAUUAGAGAUCUGGUGGAGUUUUGUGGGAUCAUAGUAAUCGAGCACAACAAGAAGGCUAAGAGCGUUUUUAAUAACGGAUAAGGGAUGUUUGCCAGCAAGGGCGGACAUAGCCGCAUUGUUGAGGGCGAGUACGGUGAUAGUCUCCCGGCUGUUGAUUUCAUCAGCAAGCUUUGUUUGGGUGAGAUAUUUGUUGAACUCGGAGUAGUCAGGCAGGCCAGAGAGAAUGUCGGUGAUGUUAUGGGCUAAUGUGGUGGUGGAGAGUGCAGAAAGGGUAAGAAAGAGGAAGAGGUAAUGUAACGCUCCCAUGGCAGAUUUAGGGUGUUAACCGAUAUUGGUUUC